AUGCUCACUUUUGCAGCACACAUACUAAAAUUGGAAUGAUAAAGAAAUUAACAUGGCCCCUGCACAAGGAUGACAUGCAAAUUUAUGAAGUCUUCAAAAAAAAA
Molecule: small nuclear RNA, 104 nt
Organism: Monodelphis domestica (gray short-tailed opossum)
Lineage: Eukaryota; Metazoa; Chordata; Mammalia; Didelphimorphia; Didelphidae
Source: Ensembl